RNAcentral lists this small RNA (808 nucleotides) under uncultured Psiloglonium. RNAcentral's name for it is "eukaryotic LSU rRNA". The stretch from base 526 to 808 matches the Rfam family "Eukaryotic large subunit ribosomal RNA", at positions 1 to 281 of the family's 3401-position model. The record is from RNAcentral. Lineage: Eukaryota; Fungi; Ascomycota; Dothideomycetes; Hysteriales; Hysteriaceae.
CUUGGUCAUUUAGAGGAAGUAAAAGUCGUAACAAGGUUUCCGUAGGUGAACCUGCGGAAGGAUCAUUACCUAGAGUUUGUAGACUUCGGUCUGCUACCUCUUACCCAUGUCUUUUGAGUACCUUCGUUUCCUCGGCGGGUCCGCCCGCCGAUUGGACAACAUUCAAACCCUUUGCAGUUGCAAUCAGCGUCUGAAAAAACAUAAUAGUUACAACUUUCAACAACGGAUCUCUUGGUUCUGGCAUCGAUGAAGAACGCAGCGAAAUGCGAUAAGUAGUGUGAAUUGCAGAAUUCAGUGAAUCAUCGAAUCUUUGAACGCACAUUGCGCCCCUUGGUAUUCCAUGGGGCAUGCCUGUUCGAGCGUCAUUUGUACCUUCAAGCUCUGCUUGGUGUUGGGUGUUUGUCUCGCCUCUGCGUGUAGACUCGCCUUAAAACAAUUGGCAGCCGGCGUAUUGAUUUCGGAGCGCAGUACAUCUCGCGCUUUGCACUCAUAACGACGACGUCCAAAAGUACAUUUUUACACUCUUGACCUCGGAUCAGGUAGGGAUACCCGCUGAACUUAAGCAUAUCAAUAAGCGGAGGAAAAGAAACCAACAGGGAUUGCCCUAGUAACGGCGAGUGAAGCGGCAACAGCUCAAAUUUGAAAUCUGGCGUCUUUGGCGUCCGAGUUGUAAUUUGCAGAGGGCGCUUUGGCUUUGGCAGCGGUCCAAGUUCCUUGGAACAGGACGUCACAGAGGGUGAGAAUCCCGUACGUGGUCGCUGGCUAUUGCCGUGUAAAGCCCCUUCGACGAGUCGAGUUGUUUGGGAAU